UGGUGGCAUUUAAAGAACAACAUGUCUACCUGAUACAAUCUUCCUAGAGUAAAUUUGUCAUUUCCUGCUUGUGGUAUCAUAGGAAGUUCUGCAAGCCUCAAACGGCAAAACAACCAU
Molecule: small nucleolar RNA, 117 nt
Organism: Lolium rigidum
Lineage: Eukaryota; Viridiplantae; Streptophyta; Magnoliopsida; Poales; Poaceae
Product: small nucleolar RNA snoR104
Exons: 1
Source: RefSeq, a predicted model, not a curated record